Macaca fascicularis (crab-eating macaque) is the source of this 300-nucleotide unclassified non-coding RNA. It matches the Rfam family "Metazoan signal recognition particle RNA". From Rfam's summary of the family: The signal recognition particle (SRP) is a universally conserved ribonucleoprotein. It is involved in the co-translational targeting of proteins to membranes. Lineage: Eukaryota; Metazoa; Chordata; Mammalia; Primates; Cercopithecidae. The record is from Ensembl.
GCUGGGCAGGUUGACAUGCACCUAUAGUCCCAGUUCUUUGGGAGGAUGAGGCAGGAGGAUUGCUUGAGUCUAGGAGCUCUGGGCUGUGUUGUGCUAUGCUGAUCAGGCAUCCACACUAAGUUCGGCAUUAAUACGGUGACCUCCUGGGAGCCGGGGAACAACCAGGUUCCUAAACAGGGAUGAACUGGCCCAGGCCGAAAACAGAGCAGGUUAAAACUCCUGUGCUGAUUAGUAAUGGGAUAGUGCCUGUAAAUAGCCACUGUAUUCCAGCCUGGGCAACAUCGCAAGAACCCAUCUCUA